This 1034-nucleotide ribosomal RNA is filed under the name Salmonella enterica. Its description in RNAcentral is "bacterial SSU rRNA". It matches the Rfam family "Bacterial small subunit ribosomal RNA", at positions 1 to 1024 of the family's 1533-position model. The record is from RNAcentral. Lineage: Bacteria; Pseudomonadati; Pseudomonadota; Gammaproteobacteria; Enterobacterales; Enterobacteriaceae.
AAAUUGAAGAGUUUGAUCAUGGCUCAGAUUGAACGCUGGCGGCAGGCCUAACACAUGCAAGUCGAACGGUAACAGGAAGCAGCUUGCUGCUUUGCUGACGAGUGGCGGACGGGUGAGUAAUGUCUGGGAAACUGCCUGAUGGAGGGGGAUAACUACUGGAAACGGUGGCUAAUACCGCAUAACGUCGCAAGACCAAAGAGGGGGACCUUCGGGCCUCUUGCCAUCAGAUGUGCCCAGAUGGGAUUAGCUUGUUGGUGAGGUAACGGCUCACCAAGGCGACGAUCCCUAGCUGGUCUGAGAGGAUGACCAGCCACACUGGAACUGAGACACGGUCCAGACUCCUACGGGAGGCAGCAGUGGGGAAUAUUGCACAAUGGGCGCAAGCCUGAUGCAGCCAUGCCGCGUGUAUGAAGAAGGCCUUCGGGUUGUAAAGUACUUUCAGCGGGGAGGAAGGUGUUGCGGUUAAUAACCGCAGCAAUUGACGUUACCCGCAGAAGAAGCACCGGCUAACUCCGUGCCAGCAGCCGCGGUAAUACGGAGGGUGCAAGCGUUAAUCGGAAUUACUGGGCGUAAAGCGCACGCAGGCGGUCUGUCAAGUCGGAUGUGAAAUCCCCGGGCUCAACUUGGGAACUGCAUUCGAAACUGGCAGGCUUGAGUCUUGUAGAGGGGGGUAGAAUUCCAGGUGUAGCGGUGAAAUGCGUAGAGAUCUGGAGGAAUACCGGUGGCGAAGGCGGCCCCCUGGACAAAGACUGACGCUCAGGUGCGAAAGCGUGGGGAGCAAACAGGAUUAGAUACCCUGGUAGUCCACGCCGUAAACGAUGUCUACUUGGAGGUUGUGCCCUUGAGGCGUGGCUUCCGGAGCUAACGCGUUAAGUAGACCGCCUGGGGAGUACGGCCGCAAGGUUAAAACUCAAAUGAAUUGACGGGGGCCCGCACAAGCGGUGGAGCAUGUGGUUUAAUUCGAUGCAACGCGAAGAACCUUACCUGGUCUUGACAUCCACGGAAGUUUUCAGAGAUGAGAAUGUGCCUUCGGG